Molecule: ribosomal RNA, 276 nt
Filed under: uncultured bacterium
Lineage: Bacteria
Description: partial 16S ribosomal RNA
Source: RNAcentral
CUGCUGCCUCCCGUAGGAGUCUGGUCCGUGUCUCAGUACCAGUGUGGGGGACCUUCCUCUCAGAACCCCUACGCAUCGUCGGUUAGGUGGGCCGUUACCCCGCCUACUGCCUAAUGCGCCGCAUGCCCAUCCCUGUCCGGCCGAAGCCUUUCCUGCCUCCGGGAUGCCCCGGUGGCAUGUACGCGGGUUUAGCCCGCCUUUCGGCGGGUUGUCCCCCUGACAGGGGCAGGUUGCAUACGUGUUACUCACCCGCGCGCCGGUCGCCGGCGGAGAAAG